AAAUUUCUGCCCUGGUUUUUCCUUAUCCCAUCAGCAAAUCUCUUCUUAGCCUUCAAAUGCCAAGCGUGCACUGACUGUACAUAACAGAACAUGACAGCGAAAGCCAUAGACUUCUCACAAGUGAAGAGUCUGAGAACAUUUGGAAUGUUGACAGUCGUUCAUGGAUAUGAGAAAGAACUAAGUCUGUAAAGCUUGAAGAAAUACCUGGCCUGAUUCCCGUUUAGGAAGAUGCCAAGUCUUUGAGGAAAGUAUCUACCUGGUCAUUAGGAAAGUUUGGAUAACAUGUGUAAUGAGACUGUAAUCACGUGUUCACCUGGACCUUUGGUCAAAUCACUGUGACACUUCAUUGACAAGAAAAAUAAAAUGCUGAGCUGAACCCAUCCUAUAUAUGGAUUUUUGUAAUAUUUUUCAAAAACGCUGUUUUGACAAAAUAGUAU
Molecule: long non-coding RNA, 437 nt
Filed under: Chinchilla lanigera (long-tailed chinchilla)
Lineage: Eukaryota; Metazoa; Chordata; Mammalia; Rodentia; Chinchillidae
Description: lncRNA (ENSCLAG00000023402.1)
Source: RNAcentral